This 311-nucleotide unclassified non-coding RNA is filed under the name Hevea brasiliensis (rubber tree). The record is from RNAcentral. Lineage: Eukaryota; Viridiplantae; Streptophyta; Magnoliopsida; Malpighiales; Euphorbiaceae.
UGAGUUUUGAAAUUUUUGAUUUGACUAUUUUGAAGCUAUCUGCUGUCCAAUUUCACGUAUUUGUGCUUACAGAUGUUUUACUUGAGUGUAAUUGACUACAGUUUAAUAUUGUUCUGUUUGGACAACCUGAAAUGGGUGCUGAACUGCAGUAUUGUAUUGUCUGCGCCUUUGUUCACUGAAAGCGAUUGAAUAAUAGUGUUUUCCUGGCUUAGAAGCAAAGCAAUUCGCUUAUGCAACCAGCCAAAGAAAUGAUGAUACUUUUGUCAUGAACUUGCUUAUUUUUCUCAUGUCAGCUCUUCAGUAUAGUAGUG